GCGACACUAUGUGUUGUUGGGUAGGGGAGCGUUCUGUAAGCCUGUGAAGGUGGCCUGUGAGGGUUGCUGGAGGUAUCAGAAGUGCGAAUGCUGACAUAAGUAACGAUAAAGCGGGUGAAAAGCCCGCUCGCCGGAAGACCAAGGGUUCCUGUCCAACGUUAAUCGGGGCAGGGUGAGUCGACCCCUAAGGCGAGGCCGAAAGGCGUAGUCGAUGGGAAACAGGUUAAUAUUCCUGUACUUGGUGUUACUGCGAAGGGGGGACGGAGAAGGCUAUGUUGGCCGGGCGACGGUUGUCCCGGUUUAAGCGUGUAGGCUGGUUUUCCAGGCAAAUCCGGAAAACCAAGGCUGAGGCGUGAUGA
Molecule: ribosomal RNA, 359 nt
Filed under: Escherichia coli
Lineage: Bacteria; Pseudomonadati; Pseudomonadota; Gammaproteobacteria; Enterobacterales; Enterobacteriaceae
Description: partial 23S ribosomal RNA
Rfam family: Bacterial large subunit ribosomal RNA
Source: RNAcentral